UAAAUACCUCGCAAUAAAAAUCUAGCAAGAAGAUGCUUAUCUAUAGGACUAAAAUUCAGUAACAAGGACCACAAAUAUUGGCUGCUUCUCUGAAUGCCCUGGUAAAUGGUCACCAUCGUACUCUCAGCCUGUUCUUCCUUAUUUUCUUGGCAACAUCCUCGCAAAAUCCCUGUAUUUUUCCCUCUAACAUCUCUCACAUCACCUACAAAAAGCCAGCCAGCCAUUCACCUUGUAUCAUUUUCCAUCAUUAAAUCAAUCAAUUCCCUUCUAUGUUUACCUAAACUGAACGCUUUCACUUUGUAGCUAAUGAAACUGACGCCACAUGAGCUAGCCACGUUGAUAAAAAUUGUACACAACCACCCAUUAUUAACCCACGAGCCAGCUGCGGCCACCUGCAGUUCAUUGCCUUGAGAAGUAGCUAACCCUUUUGUUUUCAUGGCUAAUAAUAAUGCUGGUGCCCAACUAUCAGAUUCACUGGCCCCUAAUAACAAUCCCCAGAAUGACGAGCUUCUCUUCUCUGGUGACCGGAACUUCGCCAUCCAUGUAAGUCCAAUGAUUCUUCAAAGCUCAGUCAAUCGGAACUUGUUUCGCCGGUGAAUCCCUCGGCCGGCAGUACGUUUAAGGUUCAGUUUAAAGAUGGGACAAAUAUGAUGCAAGUUCCUCAGCUACCACAGCAGCAAUAGGCCAAUCUUCUCCAUAAUAUCUGGCUGAUUCCUGAUUUCUGGAAUUGCCAGUCAUAUUGCUUACAUCUUUGUAGAAGUUGAAGAUGGAACCACAUGCCUGCUUCCAGUAUAGGUCAGGGAAGGAGAUGCCAUUGUCAUCGAAUCCACUGAGUCUCACCUUAAUCGACGCUUAAUGUUUAAUCAAUAUAUGUUCAAUUGUUGCAUUAAAUAAUUUUUUGAUAAAUUUGUUUCUUUCUUCUUCUUUUUUUUGCCGGAAUUUGUUUCUUUCAACUUCUCCGUUAUUGGUGUAUUUAAAGCUGUGAGAAGCUUAUAUAUAUUAGAGAUUUUGUUUAAA
Manihot esculenta (cassava) is the source of this 1017-nucleotide long non-coding RNA. RefSeq lists it as uncharacterized. The transcript is spliced from 2 exons. The record is from RefSeq and is a predicted model, not a curated record. Lineage: Eukaryota; Viridiplantae; Streptophyta; Magnoliopsida; Malpighiales; Euphorbiaceae.